This 1526-nucleotide ribosomal RNA is filed under the name uncultured delta proteobacterium. RNAcentral describes it as "partial 16S ribosomal RNA". The stretch from base 1 to 1289 matches the Rfam family "Bacterial small subunit ribosomal RNA". Lineage: Bacteria; Deltaproteobacteria. The record is from RNAcentral.
AGUUUGAUCCUGGCUCAGAAUGAACGCUGGCGGGGUGCUUAACACAUGCUAGUCGCACGAUAACGCUUCAGCUUGGUGAACUAAGUAAAGUGGCGCACGGAUGAGUAACGCGUGGGGAUCUACCCUCAAAUUGGGGAUAACCCGCCGAAAGGCGGGCUAAUACCGAAUGAUAUCUUGAAAACCUAUGUUUUCAGGAUCAAAGGUGGCCGCUACAUGUAAACUAUUGUUUGGGGAUGACCCCGCGUACCUUUUUCUUGAUGGUACGGUAAGGGCCAACCAAGGCUGCGAUGAAUACCUGGUCUGAGAGGAUGAUCAUUCACACUGGAACUGACCACGGUCCAGACUCCUACGGGAGGCAGCAGUGAGGAAUUUUGCGCAAUGGGGGAAACCCUGACGCAGCAACGCCGCGUGAGUGAUGAAGGCUUUCGGGUCGUAAAGCUCUGUCAAGUGGGAAGAACUCACAUGGUGUUAAUAUCGCCAUGUGCUGACGGUACCACUGAAGGAAGCACCGGCUAACUCCGUGCCAGCAGCCGCGGUAAUACGGGGGGUGCGAGCCGUUAUUCGGAAUUACUGGGCGUAAAGAGCGCGUAGGCGGUCUUUUAAGUCAGGUGUGAAAGCCCGGGGCUCAACCCCCGGAAGUGCACUUGAAACUAAGAGACUUGAGUAUGGGAGAGGGAAGUGGAAUUCCUGGUGUAGCGGUGAAAUGCGUAGAUAUCAGGAGGAACAUCAGUGGCGAAGGCGACUUCCUGGACCAAUACUGACGCUGAGGCGCGAAGGCGUGGGGAGCAAACAGGAUUAGAUACCCUGGUAGUCCACGCAGUAAACGGUGAACACUAGGUGUAGCGGGUAUUGACCCCUGCUGUGCCGCAGCAAACGCAUUAAGUGUUCCGCCUGGGGAGUACGGCCGCAAGGUUAAAACUCAAAGGAAUUGACGGGGGCCCGCACAAGCGGUGGAGCAUGUGGUUUAAUUCGACGCAACGCGAAGAACCUUACCUAGGUUUGACAUCCCGGGAAUCCUGUGGAAACACGAGAGUGCCCUUCGGGGAGCCCGGUGACAGGUGCUGCAUGGCUGUCGUCAGCUCGUGUCGUGAGAUGUUGGUGUAAAAACGACGGCCAGUGAAUUGUAAUACGACUCACUAUAGGGCGAAUUGGGCCCUCUAGAUGCAUGCUCGAGCGGCCGCCAGUGUGAUGGAUAUCUGCAGAAUUCGCCCUUGUUUGAUCCUGGCUCAGGAUGAACGCUGGCGGUAUGCUUUACACAUGCAAGUCGUACGGGAGUUUUUAACUCUAGUGGCGGACGGGUGAGUAACACGUAAGAAUUUGCCUUUAGGAGGGGGACAACAACUGGAAACGGUUGCUAAUACCCCAUAUGCUUUCGAGUGAAACGGUUUUUCCGCCUAAAGAGAAGCUUGCGGCUGAUUAGCUUGUUGGUGAGGUAAUGGCUCACCAAGGCGACGAUCAGUAUCUGGUUUGAGAGGACGCCUAAGGUAGAAUUAGUGACUGGGGUGAAGUCGUAACAAGGUAAAGGG